Molecule: ribosomal RNA, 340 nt
Filed under: uncultured Bacteroidales bacterium
Lineage: Bacteria; Pseudomonadati; Bacteroidota; Bacteroidia; Bacteroidales
Description: partial 16S ribosomal RNA
Source: RNAcentral
GGAGUCUGGACCGUGUCUCAGUUCCAAUGUGGGGGACCUUCCUCUCAGAACCCCUACCCAUCGUCGGUUUGGUGGGCCGUUACCCCGCCAACUGCCUAAUGGGACGCGAGCCAAUCCGAUACCGAUAAAUCUAUUAAACAAAGAUCAUGCGGUCUCUGUUGUUACGGAGUAUUACGCGACGUUUCCAUCGACUAUCCUCCAGUAUCGGGCAUGUUGCUCACGCGUUACUCACCCUUUCGCCGGUCGCCAUCGGGAAAAGCAAGCUUCUCCCAUGCUGCCCCUCGACUUGCAUGUGUUAGGCCUGUAGCUAGCGUUCAUCCUGAGCCAGGAUCAAAACUCU